CUAAGACUAGAACAUUAAUGAGGC
RNAcentral lists this non-coding RNA (24 nucleotides) under Cricetulus griseus (Chinese hamster). Lineage: Eukaryota; Metazoa; Chordata; Mammalia; Rodentia; Cricetidae. The record is from RNAcentral.